AUUGAACGCUGGCGGAAUGCUUUACACAUGCAAGUCGAACGGCAGCACGGACUUCGGUCUGGUGGCGAGUGGCGAACGGGUGAGUAAUGUAUCGGGACGUGCCCAGUCGUGGGGGAUAACGUAGUGAAAAUUACGCUAAUACCGCAUACGAUCUAUGGAUGAAAGCGGGGGAUCGCAAGACCUCGCGCGAUUGGAGCGGCCGAUAUCAGAUUAGGUAGUUGGUGGGGUAAAGGCCCACCAAGCCAACGAUCUGUAGCUGGUCUGAGAGGACGACCAGCCACACUGGAACUGAGACACGGUCCAGACUCCUACGGGAGGCAGCAGUGGGGAAUUUUGGACAAGGGGCGAAAGCCUGAUCCAGCCAUUCCGCGUGCAGGAUGAAGGCCCUCGGGUUGUAAACUGCUUUUGUACAGAAUGAAAAGGUUUCUACUAAUACUAGGAGCUCAUGACGGUACUGUAAGAAUAAGCACCGGCUAACUACGUGCCAGCAGCCGCAGUAA
Molecule: ribosomal RNA, 500 nt
Filed under: uncultured bacterium
Lineage: Bacteria
Description: partial 16S ribosomal RNA
Rfam family: Bacterial small subunit ribosomal RNA
Source: RNAcentral